This 699-nucleotide long non-coding RNA is filed under the name Setaria viridis. RNAcentral's name for it is "long non-coding RNA (SVIR_LNC009768)". The record is from RNAcentral. Lineage: Eukaryota; Viridiplantae; Streptophyta; Magnoliopsida; Poales; Poaceae.
CUGAUAUGGUAGCACAUGUUGGAGACUUGGACUCGCUAAGAUUCUUGUUGAGGGAAGCUCAAUUGUCCAACAGUCGACGAGUUCGAUGGCAUCUAGAGGGACAAAGGUUAGUGCAAUAUCUUCUUCUUUUCUAUAUUUAUGAAUUAUGAUUAUGUUACUUCCUUAAGGUGAAGCAUGCUGAUGGAAGAACUUAAACAUGCGCUACUGAAGUUACUAAUCUUCCAUCCAACCCCUAUAGUCCUGAUUGACUUUGCCUUUAGCCCUAGGUCAAAAAUUUGCCAUCGAAGGUCAUUGCCAGGGGGGCCUUUAGUCCCGGUUAUAAAGAUCAACUGGGACUAAAGCUCCUCCCCCUAGUCCCGGUUGUAACGGCUAUAAAAAAUCACACCGACGCCGCCCUCCUUUUGUUCCGGUUGGAAGGGAUUAAAGAUUUAGUCCCGGUUGAAAAUUCCAACCGGGAUAAAAGGGGACCUUUAGCCCCCUCCCCCCCCCCUCCCUCUACUUAUCCUCUCCCCUCCCUUAUCUCGCACAGCAGUCCCUCUUCUUCCUUAUUUCUCUCCUCCUUUCCCUUCCUUCGAGGCGGAGUGGACGGGGGAGGGGGGGUCGCAAGCGGAUGGCCGGGCGGGCGGCGCGGCUGGGUCCAUUUUUUUUAUUUUUUUGAAAUUUUUUAGUCUCGGUUGGUAAAAACCAACCGGAACUAAA